GAGUUUGAUCCUGGCUCAGAACGAACGCUGGCGGCGUGCCUAACACAUGCAAGUCGAACGAGAAUCCGGAUUUCGGUCCGGUAGUAAAGUGGCGCACGGGUGAGUAACACGUGGGUAACGUGCAUUAUAGUGGGGGAUAACCAGGUGAAAGCUUGGCUAAUACCGCAUGAGUCCGUCGGGACGCAGGUCCUGCUGGGGAAAGUGGAGCAAUCCACGCUAUAAGAUCGGCCCGCGGCCCAUUAGCUAGUUGGUGAGGUAACGGCUCACCAAGGCUACGAUGGGUAGCUGGUCUGAGAGGAUGAUCAGCCACACUGGAACUGAGACACGUCC
RNAcentral lists this ribosomal RNA (330 nucleotides) under uncultured delta proteobacterium 86ev. RNAcentral's name for it is "bacterial SSU rRNA". It matches the Rfam family "Bacterial small subunit ribosomal RNA", at positions 9 to 332 of the family's 1533-position model. The record is from RNAcentral. Lineage: Bacteria; Deltaproteobacteria.